RNAcentral lists this ribosomal RNA (242 nucleotides) under uncultured Planctomycetales bacterium. Its description in RNAcentral is "partial 16S ribosomal RNA". It matches the Rfam family "Bacterial small subunit ribosomal RNA", at positions 439 to 672 of the family's 1533-position model. Lineage: Bacteria; Pseudomonadati; Planctomycetota; Planctomycetia; Planctomycetales. The record is from RNAcentral.
GGAGUUAGGAAAUGUAGGUGCGAUAAUACCGUGCUUAUUUGACAAAGGCUCCAAAGGAAGCCACGGCUAACUCUGUGCCAGCAGCCGCGGUAAUACAGAGGUGGCAAGCGUUGUUCGGAAUUAUUGGGCGUAAAGAGCACGUAGGUGGACUUGUUAGUCAGAUGUGAAAGCCUUUUGUUCAACGGAAGAAUUGCAUCUGAAACUACAAACCUUGAGUAUAGGAGGGGAGAGUGGAACUUCUG